GUAGUAGCGCAUCACAUAUACUAAACAUUGAAGUGAUACAGACAAUAUUAGCAUGGCCCCUAUGUGAGGAUGAUAUACAAAAUCAUGAACCGUUCCGAAUUUUU
Brienomyrus brachyistius is the source of this 104-nucleotide small nuclear RNA. NCBI's taxonomy places the organism in Eukaryota, Metazoa, Chordata, Actinopteri, Osteoglossiformes, Mormyridae. The record is from RefSeq and is a predicted model, not a curated record.